Molecule: long non-coding RNA, 1639 nt
Filed under: Homo sapiens (human)
Lineage: Eukaryota; Metazoa; Chordata; Mammalia; Primates; Hominidae
Description: HSALNT0303850
Source: RNAcentral
CACCAUGUUGCCCAAGCUGGUCUUGAAUUCCUAGGCUUGAGAGACACCUUCCUCAAACCCCAUCAUGGUCUCCCAAAGUGCUGGGAUUACAGCUCUGAAGACUCAGGACAACGAAACAAAACCCUAAUGCCCUGAAUUCCCAAGGAAAUGACCUAAGGUUCUCUUUCUGUCGUGAAGCUAGGAGACCUCUGAGAUGGGAGUCAGUGUGAGGUCUCCAGAGAUGUAAAUUUAUAAUUGAGGUGAGUGAACUCUUGAAAACAUACAGUUCAAGUUGUCCUUUCCACCCUCCCUUUCACCUGCAAGGUGCUAGCAAGUGAAACUCUCACAGAGGAAGAAGUAAGGUCUUCAUUGAAAAGCUGGUGUCACACUCCUUGGGCCAGAGUCCUAGUUUCCUAUUUUGUAAAAUAAGGAUGACAAGGGCAGUUAAGUGUCUAAAACAGUGCAAACACAUAGUAAAUGCUCAAAUGCAGUAGUAGUAAUCGUAGUAGCAGUAGUAGUCAUAGUAUCCAUUAUAAUAGACCUCAAAAAAGAUAAAUUGGGAAGGCUAGAUAAGCCCUUUCCAUUAACAACAAUUGUUUGGACUCAGUUCAAAGGUCCCUUCUCAGAGAAUAAUGGCAGAAUGCAAAUGUAUUCAUCUCCUAUUGUGGCUAUGACAAAUUACCUAAAAUUUGGUAGCUUACAACAAAACAAAUUUAUUAUUUUAUAGUUCCAGAGGUCAGAAUUCCAAAACAGGUCUAGGUAAGCUAAAAUCCAGGUGUUGAUAGAGCUACUUCUCUUUUGGAAACUUUACAAAGAAAUCUAUUUCCUUAUCUUUUGCACUUCUAGAGGCCAUCUGCAUUCCCUGGCCCUUGGCCCACUUCCUCUGUCUUUGAAGCCAGCUCUUCACACCUCUCUCUAACUCUGUUUUUCUGCUUCCCUCUUCCACAUUUAAAGAACAAUUGUGAUUACAUUGGGCACACACCAAUAAUGCAGCAUAGUCUUCUUAUUUUAAGGUCAGCUGAUUAGUGACCAUAAUUCCAUUUGCAACCUUAAUUCACCCUUGCCAUUUAAUAUAUUACAGGUGUCACCUGUUAAGAUGUGGGCAUAUUUGAGGGGCCAUUAUUCGGCCUCUCCUAGCCAGAACUGCAUCUGACAAAGAAUCCAAAGAAAAUAAGACAUACUCAUAAAGAAUCCAGAGUAUGAAAACUUAGAAAAAAUUCAGUGCUCUAAAAGCUCUCCAUGUUUGAAGUUUGUGUUGUGAUUUUUCCCAGUGAUGAUCUCAAAAAUAAAAAUCCUCAUGGUUUAUAUUUGAGGGCCACAAGGAAUCAGGGAGCUGGAGGAGACUGCGUUCCACCUGGCAUCUAGUUUUGCUGCGAAAGCAACCCAUGGAGAUAAUCAAACAACUUGGCAACAAGUCAUAUGGAAGAGGGAGGAAAAAAAGACUAACUUCCCAGAGCUGGAGGGAAAGCAGAAAGCCAUGCUUAAGCUCUCAUCAGUGGGAGCCAUUCCAUCCCAGGAUCCUUUCAGCAACCAAUUUGGAAGUCUAGGCUUUUCAGUAAAUAGUUUUAUCUUGUGUUUCGAAAAAGCCACACUUCAUCUUCUGAGCCUCAUAUUCUCUUACAUGAAGUUACUAAAUAAAUCUGUAUUUCUUUUAUUUCUU